AUGUCAUUGAAAAUGACAGAAAACUAUUUCAAAAAUGAAGCAAAAUGUAAUUCAAACGUAAAUUAAUGCUUUCAGUAUGACUGUUUAAGUGUUUUCGACAACAUCAAUGGUUUUUAUGACAUCAUUUAAAAAAAGAAUUGCACUUGCACAUAUCUUUUUGUUUUCAUCCGUCAUCAUCACAUUAAAAAAAAUUAAGCAUUGCAAAACACAUUGAGAAAUACAGAAUGACUGGAUAAGAUGAUUCCAUCUCCAUCCUUAUAAAGAGACGGGUAACUCACGACUGCUCAGCAGAGACGUCCACAUCACCUCUAGAUCUCACAGUGCUCACUUUGCUGUCUUUGACACCAGUUUUUUAGGGUUCUGACAAACAAGCUGUGGAAAGGAUGAAGGGUGUUAUGAUCUUUCUGGUGUUGAUGCUGGUCGUCAUCAUGGUUGAUGCUGAGGAGAGUCGUCCUCAAAAUGAUGGUGUCCGCCUGCCGCCCCGGCGCAUAGCCAUACCUGGACUGUAUAUCAGAUUUGGAGCAUCUCAAGAUGAAGUGGCCAACGAUAAACUGAGGCGAUACUAUGAAAACUGAGUCUGUUCUUGAUUUUGAAGAUAUAGUUUGAGCUAUAUCUUUGUGCUUUGCAAAGCAAGAAAUAAUUGGAUGUGUAAACAUGAAGCUCUUGAGAUGUAGUGAUUUUAGUCACAGCUACAACUGAUAGUGAAAACUAUCCUGUUGAAUAAAGCUGCAUUCCAAAAGACCGUCUGUGUGUUGUGGUGUUAUUUAAGUGAACAUAUGUUUGUAAUUUUACUGGUGAUGAUGAUCAAGAACAUUGUUUUUCAUCAAUUCGGAGGUCAAUGUUUAUAUUAAGUAGAUCUAAAUAAUAAGUGUGUUGGUGUGAUCAGUUUAUUGAAUAAACUCUCUUCCUAUUAACUAAUAAAUCUAAAUGUUGAUGAUGUCAUUUGACAGAAAACUAUUUCAAAAAUGAAGCGAAAUAGGUGAGCAGGUGGUCGAGUGGUUAGAGCGCAUGCUACAUACGCAGCUGACCUCGGUUCGAUUCCGGCCAGAGGUCCUUUGCUGCAUGUCAUAUC
This 1072-nucleotide long non-coding RNA is filed under the name Sparus aurata (gilthead seabream). Its description in RNAcentral is "lncRNA (ENSSAUG00010015690.1)". The record is from RNAcentral. Lineage: Eukaryota; Metazoa; Chordata; Actinopteri; Spariformes; Sparidae.